UCCGUAUCUAUCUGUACCCUGUUGCUUCGGCGUGGCCACGGCCCGCCGGAGACUAACAUUUGAACGCUGUCUGAAGUUUGCAGUCUGAGUUUUUAGUUAAACAAUCGUUAAAACUUUCAACAACGGAUCUCUUGGUUCCGGCAUCGAUGAAGAACGCAGCGAAAUGCGAUAAUUAAUGUGAAUUGCAGAAUUCAGUGAAUCAUCGAGUCUUUGAACGCACAUUGCGCCCCCUGGUAUUCCGGGGGGCAUGCCUGUCCGAGCGUCAUUGCUGCCCUCAAGCACGGCUUGUGUGUUGGGCUUCCGUCCCUGGCAACGGGGACGGGCCCAAAAGGCAGUGGCGGCACCAUGUCUGGUCCUCGAGCGUAUGGGGCUUUGUCACCCGCUCCCGUAGGUCCAGCUGGCAGCUAGCCUCGCAACCAAUCUUUUUAACCAGGUUGACCUCGGAUCAGGUAGGGAUACCCGCUGAACUUAAGCAUAUCAAUAAGCGGAGGA
This 492-nucleotide ribosomal RNA is filed under the name Aspergillus ruber. Its description in RNAcentral is "eukaryotic LSU rRNA". The stretch from base 112 to 265 matches the Rfam family "5.8S ribosomal RNA". The record is from RNAcentral. Lineage: Eukaryota; Fungi; Ascomycota; Eurotiomycetes; Eurotiales; Aspergillaceae.